This is a long non-coding RNA of Dama dama (fallow deer), 2603 nucleotides long. RefSeq lists it as uncharacterized. NCBI's taxonomy places the organism in Eukaryota, Metazoa, Chordata, Mammalia, Artiodactyla, Cervidae. The record is from RefSeq and is a predicted model, not a curated record. The transcript has 5 exons.
CAGGUGCUGGGAAGGAUGGAGCCCAGCUCCCUGGGACCCGCCAGAGAGGAACUCCUGUUUACUUGGAUUCAGAGAGGCUGGGAUCCUUGGGAGAGGAAAGGAAAUCAGCUGAAGAGGUCAAUCACAAACUGAUCAGAACACUGGCUUCCAGCUCUCCCAGACUGAGAAUCCUGGAGCUUCUCUUCAUCUUGACGCCGUGGCCAGGAGCCAGCGCCCUCCACCACACCUGCCCUCUCUGGUCCACUCCAUCUCUGCCAAGUGGCUCUGCAAAGAGGUUAAAUAAGCAACCACGAUCAGCUGGCUUUCCCAGAAAGGUACCUCCUGCUGUGCUCUUUGCCCCAGGAAAACCACUCUGCAAGGGCCUGAUGGUUCACUGAUGACUCAGAAGGGAGCGGAGGUGCUCUGGGAAAAGCACCAUUCAUGUCCUUCCUGGGCCAUUUACAAAACAGAGGGAGAUAACUUGGAAGAAAGAACCUGGAAAGUGGCCUGGCAUAAAGCACGUGAAUCACUGAGCACUAUUAAAAUGUAAAAGGUCAAAUUACUCCUGCCUUAGGUGAUGAUAUAAACAAAUUAAGGGAGAUAAGCAGACUGAAACACAUUGUUGAGACGGUUUAUCCGGGCAGAGAAAAGCAGGUGGAACCAAGCUGCCUUUGGUCAAGCUUUAGCACAAAUUAGAGGUGAUUUUGAAUCAUCUUAGAAACUGCUCAAUUGGGUGAGUUUUAAAUGGAAACCUAAACUUCCUUAGUUGAAGUCUUCAUUUCACCCAAUGACAGCUUCAUUGUUUUGUCACCUCCAUCCUCCCAGCUUCUGCUAAGCCAUAAACACCAUGGAGACAGGAACGAUGGUAUUUUUCAUUAUUACACCUCCAGUGUCCAACAUAGAACCUGGCACGUAAUGGAAAUUAGACAAAUGUUGACUUGAUGGAUGAAGGUAUAAGUGGAUGAGUGAAGGGUCAGAUGAAUGAAUGGCAAGACAGACCCAAGACCUGUGGCUGGAUAAGUGGAUGCAGCCACAGUAUGAUAGAAUUUUACUGUGAUGUGGCUGUUAGUACCUUCUCACGGUGAACUGAAUGUUUGCUGAGCUAAUCUGGAAGAAAAUCUCAACAAUGGAUUGGUUUUGAAAAAACAGAAAUGUAAGACCUUUACUUAAGCAUUAACUCAUUGCUUUUCUUUCAAUUUAGUUAUCUUUUUUCUUCAGUGAUGAUAUGCAUUUCAAAUAGAUAUGAUUGACAUUCUUUAGAAGGAUCCUGGUCAAACCUCCAGCCAUAGGAACUGCCCAGUCUGGACUCCAUGCCAGGGAUUUGGCAUCUUUUUAGCCCCCAAUACACCUCAAUACCCCCUAAGAGGUGUCCCUGUACCUUUGUCCCCAACUUGGGACUCCUGGGACAAAGAACAUGAUUUCUGUCCCUCCAGGGACUCUCCUAAGAGGUCAAAUGAAUUCUACUUGUGAGAGUAGAUAGACUAGACAGACUGGAUGGACAGCCUGCUAGUAGGGCUGUGGACAAUGCCUCAAGUUGCCUCCUAAUAGUGGACUUUGGCAACAAACUGGUAAAGGAGGCAUUCUCUGCACUAGCUGUUCUCCCCGGCCUUCUUUGCUGGGCCUGCUAAUCAAGUCUCUUUCUGCUCCGCUUUCUCUCCUGGGCUGACAUCCUGAAGUCACGAGGGCCCUGACCAGCUACUCCACGGUCAUUCCCGCUCUGCUACCCACCACUGGCCUGCCUCUCCCUGAAUUCUUGUUACUCAGACUUAUCUAUCUGCCCUGAUCCAGCUCAGUGCUGCCAAGGUCCAGGGUAUGGUUGGUUAGUUCUAAUAGAAUGCUCUGCAUAGUACCAAACUGAAAUCUUCCUGUGGUAACACCACCUCUUGGCUCUGUUUUCACUCCCUGAAGCAACAGUGAAUAAAUCUACUCCAUCUUCUGCAUGAGGUUCCUCCAGUGUUUGAAGACAACCUUGAAAACAACUAACACGUCCCCUUAAGACUUCUCUCUAGGCUGACAGCUCCAGUCCUGGCAAAGUUUCCUCGGGGUUCUUGCUUUCCAACCCACACUAUUCUAGACAUUUUCUGGUUUGUCAAAUUUACCCUCAAAUAUUCUUUCAUAAGACUGAUGAACUGUUCCGAUUUGAAGGAGACCAAGGAGACACAACAACUAUUAAUAACUGCUGUGUGGAAGCCUGGCUCCAGGCCUGGUACAGAAAAGUGUUAUGAGUGGGACCAUUGAGCUAACUUCAGUAGGACUUGCAAACGAGUUAACAGGAUCAAUGUUAAUUUUCUGGUAUUGAUCAUUGUACUCCACCUACAGCAGAUGUUAACAUUUGGGAGAGCUGGGUGAAGCAUACACAAGAAUUCUUUUUUUUUUUUUUUCCAUUUAUUUUUAUUAGUUAGAGGCUAAUUAUUUUACAAUAUUGUAGUGAUUUUUGCUAUACAUUGACAUGAAUCAGCCAUGGAUUUACAUGUAUUUCCCAUCCCGAUCCCCCCUCCCACCUCCCUCUCUACCCGAUCCCUCUGGGUCUUCCCAGUGCACCAGGCCCGAGCACUUGUCUCAUGCAUCCAACCUGGGCUGGUGAUCUGUUUCACCCUAGAUAAUAUACAUGUUUCGAUGCUGUU